RNAcentral lists this ribosomal RNA (497 nucleotides) under uncultured bacterium. RNAcentral describes it as "partial 16S ribosomal RNA". It matches the Rfam family "Bacterial small subunit ribosomal RNA", at positions 28 to 507 of the family's 1533-position model. The record is from RNAcentral.
GAUGAACGCUGGCGGCGUGCCUAAUACAUGCAAGUCGAGCGAACAGACGAGGAGCUUGCUCCUUUGACGUUAGCGGCGGACGGGUGAGUAACACGUGGGUAACCUACCUAUAAGACUGGGAUAACUUCGGGAAACCGGAGCUAAUACCGGAUAAUAUUUCGAACCGCAUGGUUCGAUAGUGAAAGAUGGCUCUGCUAUCACUUAUAGAUGGACCUGCGCCGUAUUAGCUAGUUGGUAAGGUAACGGCUUACCAAGGCAACGAUACGUAGCCGACCUGAGAGCGUGGUCGGCCACACUGGAACUGAGACACGGUCCAGACUCCUGCGGGGGGCAGCAGUCGGGAAUCUUACGCAAUGGGCGAAAGCCUGACGGUGCAACGCCGCGUGAGUGAUGAAGGUCUUCGGCUCGGAGAACUCUGUUAUUAGGAAGGUACUAACGUGUAAGUAACUGUGCACGUCUUGACGGUACCUAAUCAGAAAGCCACGGCUAACUACGUG